UUUAUGGAGAGUUUGAUCCUGGCUCAGGAUGAACACUGGCGGCGUGCCUAAUACAUGCAAGUCGAGCGAACGGAUGAGAAGCUUGCUUCUCUGAUGUUAGCGGCGGACGGGUGAGUAACACGUGGAUAACCUACCUAUAAGACUGGGAUAACUUCGGGAAACCGGAGCUAAUACCGGAUAAUAUUUUGA
Molecule: ribosomal RNA, 189 nt
Filed under: Staphylococcus aureus
Lineage: Bacteria; Bacillati; Bacillota; Bacilli; Caryophanales; Staphylococcaceae
Description: partial 16S ribosomal RNA
Rfam family: Bacterial small subunit ribosomal RNA
Source: RNAcentral